GCCAGGUACAGUGGUGUGCGCCUGUAGUCCCAGCUACUCGGGAGGCUGAGGCAGGAGGAUGGCUUGAGCCCAGGAGUUUGGGGCUAUAGUGUGUUAUGCUGAUGGGGUGUCUGCACUAAGUUUGGCAUCAAUAUGGUGACCCCCAUGAGCAGGGGACCACAGGGUUGCCUAAGGAGGGGUGAAAGGGCCCAGGUUGGAAACAGAGCAGGUCAACAUUCCCACGCUGAUCAGUAGUGGGGAUCACACCUGUGAAUAGCCACAGCACUCCAGCCUGGGCAACAUUUUAUUU
This 289-nucleotide signal recognition particle RNA is filed under the name Propithecus coquereli (Coquerel's sifaka). RNAcentral's name for it is "Metazoan signal recognition particle RNA (ENSPCOG00000005150.1)". It matches the Rfam family "Metazoan signal recognition particle RNA". From Rfam's summary of the family: The signal recognition particle (SRP) is a universally conserved ribonucleoprotein. It is involved in the co-translational targeting of proteins to membranes. The record is from Rfam by way of RNAcentral. Lineage: Eukaryota; Metazoa; Chordata; Mammalia; Primates; Indriidae.